RNAcentral lists this ribosomal RNA (319 nucleotides) under uncultured eukaryote. RNAcentral describes it as "partial 18S ribosomal RNA". It matches the Rfam family "Eukaryotic small subunit ribosomal RNA", at positions 1470 to 1796 of the family's 1831-position model. The record is from RNAcentral.
CCCUUAGAUGUUCUGGGCAGCACGCGCGCUACAAUGGUCUUCGCAAACGGAUGCAUUCUCGAAGGAGAAUGCAAAUCUUGGAAUCUAUGCCUUGGUCGGGACAGUUGCUUGCAAUUUUUCGACUCGAACCAGGAAUUCCUUGUAAUCGUGAUUCAUCACAUCACGAUGAAUACGUCCCUGCCCUUUGUACACACCGCCCGUCGCUCCUACCGAUCGAAGAGUUAGGUGAAUUGUUUUGAUCGAUAAGAUUUGACUAUGGUCAACUCUCGUUGUGAAAUUCUGUGAAUCUGACUGUUUAGAGGAAGGAAAAGUCGUAACA